This 475-nucleotide ribosomal RNA is filed under the name uncultured bacterium. RNAcentral describes it as "bacterial SSU rRNA". It matches the Rfam family "Bacterial small subunit ribosomal RNA", at positions 1 to 469 of the family's 1533-position model. The record is from RNAcentral.
UGAGUUUGAUCAUGGCUCAGGACGAACGCGGCGGCGUGCCUAAUACAUGCAAGUUGAGCGCUGAAGGUUGGUACUUGUACCAACUGGAUGAGCAGCGAACGGGUGAGUAACGCGUGGGGAAUCUGCCUUUGAGCGGGGGACAACAUUUGGAAACGAAUGCUAAUACCGCAUAAAAACUUUAAACACAAGUUUUAAGUUUGAAAGAUGCAAUUGCAUCACUCAAAGAUGAUCCCGCGUUGUAUUAGCUAGUUGGUGAGGUAAAGGCUCACCAAGGCGAUGAUACAUAGCCGACCUGAGAGGGUGAUCGGCCACAUUGGGACUGAGACACGGCCCAAACUCCUACGGGAGGCAGCAGUAGGGAAUCUUCGGCAAUGGACGAAAGUCUGACCGAGCAACGCCGCGUGAGUGAAGAAGGUUUUCGGAUCGUAAAACUCUGUUGGUAGAGAAGAACGUUGGUGAGAGUGGAAAGCUCAUC